Long non-coding RNA from Lolium rigidum, 271 nucleotides. RefSeq lists it as uncharacterized. The record is from RefSeq and is a predicted model, not a curated record. The transcript is spliced from 3 exons. NCBI's taxonomy places the organism in Eukaryota, Viridiplantae, Streptophyta, Magnoliopsida, Poales, Poaceae.
UUGGUGUUUGAUCGAUGUACGAAUUUUUGUUUGUCAGGCAGAAUGUUGGUGCAGUUGACAAUAGCGGCAAUAGUAGCCACGGAUACACCGACCUGGAGAAGCGUAGUGGCAGCAGUAGCUACAGAUGAGGGGGAUCGGACCAUUGAAGAAGCAUCCCAAAGUUGCUAAACAAGAACUACCUGACUUCCAUCAAUGGAUGAUCAUAUAGCGGAUGACCUUCUGAUAAAGGGGCUGCAUAUGAGCAACCUACGUACCCUGAGCAAGAAGUUAC